AAAUUGAAGAGUUUGAUCAUGGCUCAGAUUGAACGCUGGCGGCAGGCCUAACACAUGCAAGUCGAGCGGAAACGACACUAACAAUCCUUCGGGUGCGUUAAUGGGCGUCGAGCGGCGGACGGGUGAGUAAUGCCUAGGAAAUUGCCUUGAUGUGGGGGAUAACCAUUGGAAACGAUGGCUAAUACCGCAUAAUGCCUACGGGCCAAAGAGGGGGAUCUUCGG
RNAcentral lists this ribosomal RNA (222 nucleotides) under Vibrio tasmaniensis. RNAcentral's name for it is "partial 16S ribosomal RNA". It matches the Rfam family "Bacterial small subunit ribosomal RNA", at positions 1 to 214 of the family's 1533-position model. Lineage: Bacteria; Pseudomonadati; Pseudomonadota; Gammaproteobacteria; Vibrionales; Vibrionaceae. The record is from RNAcentral.